GGUCGCAAUGCAUGGUAUGGUCAGAUGCUAGCGAAGGGUGAGCUGAAUCUAGAGAUGGGAGAUAGCAUCAAAGGGAAAGGGACAAUUCAGGGUGUCUCUGCGGUUGAAGCAUUUUACGAUCUCCUCAGUCAGACCAGCUUAAGUGUGUUAGAUCCAGAAGAAAACAAGCCAGUUGCUCCGACCGAGCUUUGCCCCAUCCUGAGAACACUUUACAAGAUACUGAUCAAAAGGG
This 232-nucleotide unclassified non-coding RNA is filed under the name Hevea brasiliensis (rubber tree). Lineage: Eukaryota; Viridiplantae; Streptophyta; Magnoliopsida; Malpighiales; Euphorbiaceae. The record is from RNAcentral.